This is a non-coding RNA of Podarcis lilfordi (Lilford's wall lizard), 81 nucleotides long. NCBI's taxonomy places the organism in Eukaryota, Metazoa, Chordata, Lepidosauria, Squamata, Lacertidae. The record is from the annotation of a GenBank genome assembly.
GCCUGGAUUAGAGCCACAGCCCAACCAGUCAGUGCAUCUGGCUGUAAACCAGAAGGUUGGUGGUUUGAGCCCACCCAGGCA